This 74-nucleotide transfer RNA is filed under the name Rhizopus microsporus. It matches the Rfam family "tRNA". Rfam says of the family: Transfer RNA (tRNA) molecules are approximately 80 nucleotides in length. Their secondary structure includes four short double-helical elements and three loops (D, anti-codon, and T loops). Further hydrogen bonds mediate the characteristic L-shaped molecular structure. tRNAs have two regions of fundamental functional importance: the anti-codon, which is responsible for specific mRNA codon recognition, and the 3' end, to which the tRNAs corresponding amino acid is attached (by aminoacyl-tRNA synthetases). tRNAs cope with the degeneracy of the genetic code in two manners: having more than one tRNA (with a specific anti-codon) for a particular amino acid; and 'wobble' base-pairing, i.e. permitting non-standard base-pairing at the 3rd anti-codon position. The record is from Rfam by way of RNAcentral. Lineage: Eukaryota; Fungi; Mucoromycota; Mucoromycetes; Mucorales; Rhizopodaceae. RNAcentral also lists the same sequence under 6 other names.
GCCCGACUGAUGUAGCGGUUUAUCAUACUGUCUUCACACGACAGAGGUCGUCGGUUCGAACCCGACGUCGGGCA